AUCGCUUCUCGGCUCUCUGAGCUAAGAUCAUGUGUAGUAUCUGUUCUUUGCAGUGUAAUUUCUGCAACGGUCCCUAAUUUGGGACCAAUGAAAUUACCUGUAUUUUUCCAACCAGGACGGGUGCUGUGAGCUUGCUCAACCCCGUCCACGGGUCGGCCUCGUAUUGCAUUACCUCGAGGAUUGGCCCAUUAAUG
Taenia asiatica is the source of this 194-nucleotide non-coding RNA. Lineage: Eukaryota; Metazoa; Platyhelminthes; Cestoda; Cyclophyllidea; Taeniidae. The record is from Rfam.